AUGCAGGAAGCGACCUGCCCUCUUUUGAAAAAAAGCGAGAGAGAGAGCGAGAGAGAGAGAGAGAGAGAGAGAGAGAGAGAGACUUCGAGCUUCAGAAGAGAGAGGGAGGGGAGAGGAGAGGAGGGAGAAGGAAAUGACAGAGAGAGAGAGAGAGAGAGAGAGAGAGAGAGAGAGAGAGAGAGAGAGAGAGAGAGAGAGAACGCAGAGGGAGGGAGGCAGGGAGGGAGACCAAACCCCCGCUUUACUGCGUUGAAGCUUCUGAAUUUCAAGCAGAAAGUAGAAGGAGCUCCAAACGGCAGGGCGCGUUCUGGGGUCUCUGCGCAAGACCAUCUCUCAGCUCUCUCUCCCUUCCUCGGACUCUGGAGUGGGAGCGGGCCUUUCCCUCGGGCGGACCACACCGUAGGGGACGCCGUGAAAAGAGCCGUCGCGCCCGCCACCUCCUGCCCGCUGCGCAGAGGGCUCCGCCCGUAGAGCAAACUCGUAGCCAGACCAGAUGGGCCGCCCAGCUCUCUCGGGACUAGGCAG
Molecule: long non-coding RNA, 525 nt
Filed under: Callithrix jacchus (white-tufted-ear marmoset)
Lineage: Eukaryota; Metazoa; Chordata; Mammalia; Primates; Cebidae
Description: lncRNA (ENSCJAG00000081860.1)
Source: RNAcentral